Long non-coding RNA from Melitaea cinxia (Glanville fritillary), 158 nucleotides. RefSeq lists it as uncharacterized. NCBI's taxonomy places the organism in Eukaryota, Metazoa, Arthropoda, Insecta, Lepidoptera, Nymphalidae. The transcript has 4 exons. The record is from RefSeq and is a predicted model, not a curated record.
CAUACCUUUCAUAUUGUUGUGAAACUAGUUGUACGGAUGGGACUGAGGAGUGUUAAUUUAAAAAGACGUGUUCAUAGCAAAACUGCAUGUUUAUUACUGACAUUUAUUUAUUUAUUUAUUUAUUUAUUUAACAUUAACACCAACAAGACAUACACUAA